This 254-nucleotide ribosomal RNA is filed under the name uncultured bacterium. RNAcentral's name for it is "partial 16S ribosomal RNA". It matches the Rfam family "Bacterial small subunit ribosomal RNA", at positions 524 to 776 of the family's 1533-position model. The record is from RNAcentral.
UACGUAGGGUGCAAGCGUUGUCCGGAAUUAUUGGGCGUAAAGAGCUCGUAGGCGGCUUGUCGCGUCGAAUGUGAAAACCCACGGCUCAACUGUGGGCUUGCAUUCGAUACGGGCAGGCUAGAGUUCGGUAGGGGAGACUGGAAUUCCUGGUGUAGCGGUGAAGAUGCGCAGAUAUCAGGAGGAACACCGGUGGCGAAGGCGGGUCUCUGGGCCGAUACUGACGCUGAGGAGCGAAAGCGUGGGGAGCGAACAGG